RNAcentral lists this long non-coding RNA (1057 nucleotides) under Bos indicus x Bos taurus (hybrid cattle). RNAcentral describes it as "lncRNA (ENSBIXG00005023193.1)". Lineage: Eukaryota; Metazoa; Chordata; Mammalia; Artiodactyla; Bovidae. The record is from RNAcentral.
AGGGCUACCUCUCAAAGUGCUACUCGGUGGACUUAUUUUCUGUGCAGAUUCUUCCUGUUUCAUUCUCACGAUAUCCCAAGGACGACGCUUUUCCUUUGCUUACCACAUACAGAAUACAAGAAAUGAGGAUUCUGAACUAGAAACUGAUGACUAAAACAAGGGCAAGAAAGAUGACCUGUUUGCUUGGAGAGUGAGGACUCUGUUCUCAGUGCAGAGCUGAGGUGUGGACUCCGGGCCUGGACUAUAGAAGUUCGAGGUGGAGCCUGUCCUGGGAAGUGCAAGCAGGAGCCUCAACUGAGCCCACACACUGAAAACACAGAACUCAGGAGAUGGAAGGAAGGAAAUCAACGGUCUUGGAAGAUGAGAAACCCCAAAGAAAAGCAAGAUAUCCAGAAGUUUACCUGAGCUUGCCUGAAGAGCAUACUGGCUUCAAACACAGGACCGGUGAUGCUAAGCAAGCCCCAGUGGCCUCCUCCCAUACAGGGGUCUGUGUCAGGGAGUUGGAAUACAUGUACAGUGACCUGGGCAACUGGAGCCUCAACUGGGCCCACACACUGGAAACACAGAAAGGAGAGAGGGGAUGGAAGAAAGGAAAUCAGCAGGUUCGGAGGAUGAGAAAACCCAAAGAAAAGCGAGGCAAUGGUCGAGGAGCUGUUUGCCAAGGGAGGUGAGGACAAGGACAAGUGGAGCUUGGAAAGUUCAGUAGGAAAUGAGGAACGCACAGCAUCAUCUAAGUUCUCAAGGAGCAACCUGAGCUGAGCAGGAAGGACCAGGAGAGUAAUUUAGUCCCCAGAGAACUUGUGCACCUGCCGAGGAGAUCCACACGACGGAUCCAGUUGGUUUAUACUGCUGGGAGCACCAAUCCCAGGAGGAGGAUGAGGUUUAUACUGCUGGGAGCACCGAUCCCAGCAGGAAGAUGAUGGGACCUUGAGGCUCUGCACGAGACCCCCAGCUUGAAACUUGGACGUGCCCACAUGUGGAUGUCCUCCAAGUAAGGGUGUAUGUAAUAAGGUGGAUAAAUGGUGUUUGGAGAAACAUUAGAGAUCUUCAUUCUUAU